CGGGCCUUGUACACACCGCCCGUCACACCAUGGGAGUUGGUUUUACCUUAAGCCGGUGCGCUAACCCGCAAGGGAGGCAGCCGACCACGGUAAGGUCAGCGACUGGGGUG
RNAcentral lists this ribosomal RNA (110 nucleotides) under uncultured bacterium. RNAcentral's name for it is "partial 16S ribosomal RNA". It matches the Rfam family "Bacterial small subunit ribosomal RNA", at positions 1375 to 1482 of the family's 1533-position model. The record is from RNAcentral.